This 894-nucleotide long non-coding RNA is filed under the name Fukomys damarensis (Damara mole-rat). Its description in RNAcentral is "lncRNA (ENSFDAG00000032905.1)". Lineage: Eukaryota; Metazoa; Chordata; Mammalia; Rodentia; Bathyergidae. The record is from RNAcentral.
GGCCAGAGCUGGAGGGGUUGGGUGAGCACAGCGUGAAUCAAGGUUGCUGUGGAGAGUGGGUGAGCCAUGAUCUGCAGUGAAAAGGAAGAGACACAGCGGGGUGGGAAAGACCUGGGGGAAUCCACGCUGCUUCCAGCCUGUCCACAGGAUGCUCUGUGCCGCCCCUGCCUACCUUGGGUGAGGUCUCGUGUGGACCACCAGGACAGGUUACAUCGAUUUCACCACGACAGGAAAGAAAAUGAAGGAUGGUCCACAUGUGGUGCACCCUGAAUAUUUUGGGGACCGAGUGCACCCUGGGGUCCCAAGCAGGAGCACAUCCCAACGUCUCCCUGCUCACAAUGGCUUCCCGGAUGAUUGUGCACGACGCUGAUACUCCUAGUGCAUUAACGCAAAGACAAAAUUCCAUUUCACAGUUGUCAGAACAGCCGCGGUCCCUCCCAUUGUGACCGAAGCCAUCCCCACUCCACUCCCAGACCGAGUCGGUGCAGGGAGGAAGGGCUGGGUGGGGACGGGAGGGACAGCAGGCGGUGGGGCGGGCAGCUGGACACUGGGGCCGGAUCCGUGGAUUCUCCAUUUGCUUUGUAUUUUACAGCGUGCUCUCUCGCUCACAGGCCACCUUUGUGGGAAGAGCCUUUGGUGACUGUUAACCGUUUGACACAGGAUCAGGUUCAGAGAGCAGUGUAGGUGUGAAGGAAGCCAGAGAGUACACAGCCAGGGAGUACACAGCUGAGAAAUGCCUUACACUUUUGCAUUAUCCCUGUUUUUAAAUUUUAUUUGUGCAUUUUAGAUAUACAUCAUGAUGACAUUCACUGUAGGGAAUUUGCAUCUGUCAUCAUAUAUAUUGCUGCUUCUUUUUUUCCCAUUCCCCUCCCCUCCCUUCAACCCCUCUUCCCC